GCAGCGGUAGCUCAGCUGGAUAGAGUAAUCGGCUACGAACCGAUCGGUCGGGGGUUCGAAUCCCUUCCGCUGCACCA
RNAcentral lists this transfer RNA (77 nucleotides) under Proteiniclasticum sp. RNAcentral describes it as "tRNA-Arg". It matches the Rfam family "tRNA". Rfam says of the family: Transfer RNA (tRNA) molecules are approximately 80 nucleotides in length. Their secondary structure includes four short double-helical elements and three loops (D, anti-codon, and T loops). RNAcentral also lists the same sequence under 1 other name. The record is from RNAcentral. Lineage: Bacteria; Bacillati; Bacillota; Clostridia; Eubacteriales; Clostridiaceae.